AGUGAACGCUGGCGGUAGGCCUAACACAUGCAAGUCGAACGGCAGCACAGUAAGAGCUUGCUCUUACGGGUGGCGAGUGGCGGACGUGUGAGGAAUACAUCGGAAUCUACUUUUUCGUGGGGGAUAACGUAGGGAAACUUACGCUAAUACCGCAUACGACCUACGGGUGAAAGCAGGGGAUCUUCGGACCUUGCGCGAUUGAAUGAGCCGAUGUCGGAUUAGCUAGUUGGCGGGGUAAAGGCCCACCAAGGCGACGAUCCGUAGCUGGUCUGAGAGGAUGAUCAGCCACACUGGAACUGAGACACGGUCCAGACUCCUACGGGAGGCAGCAGUGGGGAAUAUUGGACAAUGGGCGCAAGCCUGAUCCAGCCAUACCACGUGGGUGAAGAAGGCCUUCGGGUUGUAAGGCCCUUUUGUUGGGAAAGAAAAGCAGCAGGUUAAUACCCCGCUGUUCUGACGGUACCCAAAGAAUAAGCACCGGCUAACUUCGUG
This 492-nucleotide ribosomal RNA is filed under the name uncultured bacterium. RNAcentral describes it as "partial 16S ribosomal RNA". It matches the Rfam family "Bacterial small subunit ribosomal RNA", at positions 29 to 507 of the family's 1533-position model. The record is from RNAcentral.